RNAcentral lists this unclassified non-coding RNA (604 nucleotides) under Vitis rotundifolia (muscadine). RNAcentral's name for it is "partial external transcribed spacer". The record is from RNAcentral. Lineage: Eukaryota; Viridiplantae; Streptophyta; Magnoliopsida; Vitales; Vitaceae.
ACGCAUCGUCGCCAUGCCUAUAUCGGUCCUAUGAAGGCUUCACUCGUUGCUCCCGUGUGCUUGUCAGGAGUCACCUCCGGAUGGGUCGCGGUUCGACGCGUGGUGCCGUGUCGUAGUGAACCUGAUGGCGUGUGAGUGGUGUUUGGGUCGCGUGGGUCGGCAGGCUCCUUGCUCGUGCAACGAACUGUCGCCCCACCCCCCUCUUCAUUCCGAGCCCCAAGCGCCGCAACGGGCCUUGGGUGCCGCGAUAUCGUGGUUCCUGUGUUGCCUUCCUAACGGAUGGAAUUGUCCCUCGAACGUUGCCUAUCUCCGCCCGGCUCCCGCUCACGCGGUGCGGGCGGACCUCGAAAGCGGUCGCCGCGUCCCACGGUCGCCCCACGCGUGCACACGCACGAGGGGGGUCGAGCUUGGACCGCGACGGCCGCUCGUGCUCUCGGAUGCGGAACCUUAAAACGAGCGUGGGGUCUUCGGAUCCCGUACUCGCUCGAGCUAAGCGUUCGUCGCUAGACGCGUACGACGGCCGUCACCGUCUUUGCCCUCCCGUCCCGCUCCCCUCGGGGGGCGUCGGCCAGGCGCAUGCGGUGCCGGCGUCGCACAGGAAUGC